UGAGGAAUAUUGGUCAAUGGCCGCAAGGCUGAACCAGCCAAGUAGCGUGAGGGAAGACUGCCCUAUGGGUUGUAAACCUCUUUUAUGCGGGGAUAAAGGCGUCCACGUGUGGAUGUUUGCAGGUACCGCAUGAAUAAGGACCGGCUAAUUCCGUGCCAGCAGCCGCGGUAAUACGGAAGGUCCGGGCGUUAUCCGGAUUUAUUGGGUUUAAAGGGAGCGUAGGCCGGUCUUUAAGCGUGCCGUGAAAUUUUGUGGCUCAACCAUGAGAGUGCGGCGCGAACUGGAGACCUUGAGUGCGCGGAA
This 303-nucleotide ribosomal RNA is filed under the name uncultured bacterium. RNAcentral describes it as "bacterial SSU rRNA". It matches the Rfam family "Bacterial small subunit ribosomal RNA", at positions 355 to 655 of the family's 1533-position model. The record is from RNAcentral.